This 73-nucleotide transfer RNA is filed under the name Felis catus (domestic cat). It matches the Rfam family "tRNA". Rfam says of the family: Transfer RNA (tRNA) molecules are approximately 80 nucleotides in length. RNAcentral also lists the same sequence under 1 other name. The record is from Rfam by way of RNAcentral. Lineage: Eukaryota; Metazoa; Chordata; Mammalia; Carnivora; Felidae.
ACCUUGCUGGCCCAACCAGUAGAGCAUAUGACUCUUGAUCUUGGGGUCAUGAGUUUGAGCCCCAUGUUGGGUA